This 165-nucleotide long non-coding RNA is filed under the name Cyanistes caeruleus (blue tit). RNAcentral describes it as "lncRNA (ENSCCEG00000000925.1)". The record is from RNAcentral. Lineage: Eukaryota; Metazoa; Chordata; Aves; Passeriformes; Paridae.
UACAGCUAAAUCCACUAACCACCAAGAAAGAAGAAUGGAUCUUAGAAGUCUGUGAAGUGCUGGUAGCUGGAGGUGUCUGAGCAGAUGUGCUUCCUUAACGUUUGUGUAAAGGACAUGAAAAUCAACAGCAGGAAUGAUUGCCUUUUGAAGCAAGCACGUUGUGAC